RNAcentral lists this ribosomal RNA (497 nucleotides) under uncultured bacterium. RNAcentral describes it as "partial 16S ribosomal RNA". It matches the Rfam family "Bacterial small subunit ribosomal RNA", at positions 28 to 507 of the family's 1533-position model. The record is from RNAcentral.
GACGAACGCUGGCGGCGUGCCUAAUACAUGCAAGUAGAACGCUGAAGAGAGGAGCUUACUCUUCUUGGAUGAGUUGCGAACGGGUGAGUAACGCGUAGGUAACCUGCCUUGUAGCGGGGGAUAACUAUUGGAAACGAUAGCUAAUACCGCAUAACAAUGGAUGACACAUGUCAUUUAUUUGAAAGGGGCAAUUGCUCCACUACAAGAUGGACCUGCGUUGUAUUAGCUAGUAGGUGAGAUAAUGGCUCACCUAGGCGACGAUACAUAGCCGACCUGAGAGGGUGAUCGGCCACACUGGGACUGAGACACGGCCCAGACUCCUACGGGAGGCAGCAGUAGGGAAUCUUCGGCAAUGGGGGCAACCCUGACCGAGCAACGCCGCGUGAGUGAAGAAGGUUUUCGGAUCGUAAAGCUCUGUUGUAAGUCAAGAACGGGUGUGAGAGUGGAAAGUUCACACUGUGACGGUAGCUUACCAGAAAGGGACGGCUAACUACGUG